This 460-nucleotide ribosomal RNA is filed under the name uncultured bacterium. RNAcentral describes it as "partial 16S ribosomal RNA". It matches the Rfam family "Bacterial small subunit ribosomal RNA", at positions 338 to 795 of the family's 1533-position model. The record is from RNAcentral.
CCUACGGGUGGCAGCAGUGAGGAAUAUUGGUCAAUGGACGAGAGUCUGAACCAGCCAAGUAGCGUGAAGGAUGACUGCCCUAUGGGUUGUAAACUUCUUUUAUAUGGGAAUAAAAUGUUCCACGUGUGGGAUUUUGUAUGUACCAUAUGAAUAAGGAUCGGCUAACUCCGUGCCAGCAGCCGCGGUAAUACGGAGGAUCCGAGCGUUAUCCGGAUUUAUUGGGUUUAAAGGGAGCGUCGGUGGAUUGUUAAGUCAGUUGUGAAAGUUUGCGGCUCAACCGUAAAAUUGCAGUUGAAACUGGCAGGCUUGAGUACAGUAGAGGUGGGCGGAAUUCGUGGUGUAGCGGUGAAAUGCGUAGAUAUCACGAAGAACACCGAUGGCGAAGGCAGCUCACUGGACUGCAACUGACACUGAGGCUCGAAAGUGUGGGUAUCAAACAGGAUUAGAUACCCCAGUAGUC